GAUUUUACCGGAAGAAAAGCUGGAGCUAAGUUUCCGUUCUGAGCUAGAUACAGUUGUAAAUGUGGAUGCCUCAGGAGUUCUGCAGCCUACACAACAUGCUUUUGAUCAGCUGCUUCCUACAAUGUCAAGAUUGUGAAAAAACAUAUCAUCAGUAUAGGAAAUGGAAAGCAUUUCUGAAUGAGCAGUUGGAGUGUCCUUCCACUCACAGCGAAGAUGAAUAUAUGGUUGGAAGGGGAGAAAUGGAGGAUCUGUUUAUUUUGUUAACAAGUCCAGCCAUGUCCUGUUUAGUAAAACACUGUACUUAUUAAAACUGAAAAUGGAGUUAAUAUGUUCGAAGAUCAACGAGAUAACUACUUGUUCUCUAACUUACUGAAGCCCGGAAUGGUGGUUGAUGUGCUGCUAUUUCAAAGAUACAGCAACCUGAGGAAAUAUCAGAACUCAAGCUUUUUCUAAGAACGUCUAAAUCCAGCCAGGUGAUCUUUUGGAAAGUUGGGGUGGGCACCUACCUAAAGACCAUAUGUCCGAUUUAUAGCCAUAGGGUAUGUCUGCUAGAAUUUCCGGGCACAUGUAAUUAGGAGUUCCCACAACCUAAAUAUAACACACGAUUUGAACACCGUGAGUGCGUAGUUUCCUCAGUGACACUUGUCAAGGAAUGAGAAGAAAGAUGGAUACCGAUGAAGCAAGAUCAUCUUGAUGGAGCGGUUUUGCUAGUCCAAAAUCACCUGAAAAUGUCUCGUAUCAGGCACAGGAAAAUGUUAGAGCACUGGAUCCAAUAUAAGGAAGGAAUCAGUGCAAGGAAUCUAUAUAGCUCAUUGGUUUACAUUCGCCGAAGAAAUUAAUGUACCUUCAGAUCUCUGUGAAGGAUGCGGUUUGAAUGCAGGUAAUCUAAUGCUAAAAGCAGCUGAGUCAGCCAUCUGCAAAUCUUCUGUAGAAACAAAAGGCUCAGAAACUUGUCACGAGACACAUAUAUGAGUCCUGAUUCAGUAGGAUGCACCCAUGAGUAUCAUAUGUGAACAAAUCAAGUAAGGCCUAUAGUAGAAACAGACUUUCAUUUACCCUCUCUACCCAUCCAUCUUUGUACUUGACGAUGUACGGAUUGUUCAGCUUCUCCAUCAAAGCCAUCUGCAAGAUUCGCUCGAUAUUCUUAUUUUACAUGCUUCAAUACUAAAAAAUGGAACAUAUCAAAUUUCUGUUUAGUAGAAUUAGUUGAAUUCAAUUCCUAUAUAGGUAUUAAUAGUAUUUGAAGAACAUCAUUAUUUAUUUAGCCACACUUACUUAUUGAAGCCUAUCAUUCCCUGCACAAAUUUAAAUGUGAAAGUCUAGUUAGGUUGCAAUUAUUUUCUACUUUCUGCUCUUGCAAUUUAUUCGAUUGCUGUUCUCUUUUGUGACAGGUGGUAGGUGAAUUCUCAUUGAAAGAGGCAAGGAGAGGUUGGUGAGAACACCAUAACCUUAAUUCUUUGCCAUUAUUAUGAAUGAUUCUUCUAUACCUAUGGUCCCUAUUUCUCUUUGCCUUAUUAAACUAUGAUUAAAGUUGCAUCUUAGGUCUGCCUAACCAGAAUAAUUCUCUUUCUUUAAUGGAGUAGUAAUCAUCUUGAUCUACAGAUACAAGUAGGAAGAAAAUGAAAAAUAAAAAUUAUAGCAGUAAUAAUUUUGCACAAUUUACAGAAUAGUGAGUCACCUCCCGAUGCGCCGUUUGCUUAAAACUUUCAGUUUGCUUAGCUAGAUGAAUCUUCUUCAUAACAUACCUACAGAUGAUUAAGUAGAAAACAUGAAGGGGUGAUGUGAUUAUUACAACAGGAUCAUGAUCAUGUAAUGAAAAAUGUGAAAUCUUUUUUUUU
Andrographis paniculata is the source of this 1838-nucleotide long non-coding RNA. RefSeq lists it as uncharacterized. The record is from RefSeq and is a predicted model, not a curated record. NCBI's taxonomy places the organism in Eukaryota, Viridiplantae, Streptophyta, Magnoliopsida, Lamiales, Acanthaceae. The transcript has 4 exons.